GUACUCUGGCAGUACACAUACAAAAUUGGAACAAUACAGAGAUGAGCCUGGCGCUUGCACAAGGCCAUGAAAAGUCUUGAAGCAGCUCAUAUUUUG
This is a small nuclear RNA of Camelus dromedarius (Arabian camel), 96 nucleotides long. NCBI's taxonomy places the organism in Eukaryota, Metazoa, Chordata, Mammalia, Artiodactyla, Camelidae. The record is from Ensembl.